UGUUGCUCCUCGUGCGGUUCUCCUUUGUUUGUUCUUGUCAAGCUGCUGCUGGUGGGGGUGCGUGUUCAUCUGACUUUCUGAGUAGGACGCGCAAGAACCACUCGAUUCGAGAGCUUGGUGGUCACAUAGCUCACGCCUCUUGGUUUAGCGCUGCCCAUGGGGCAUGGGCGAGUUCUUGCCGGUAUGGAGUAGCUGGGCAGGGCUUUGAUUCUUUAGCACAGCGCAAAACCCUGCUCAAAGGGGGUACAUGAUUUUGCUCCUUUGUUGGUCAGUUCAUGAGCUGAUCCAAUUGCGACCACCGGCACACCACCUUGCUUCAGCUGAAGAGCCUUAGCCCACAGAAUUACGCUCCCAAUUCAGUCGGUCAGACAAUUGUACCGAGGUAUGCUUAUGUGCUUACGUGCUUUAGAUUUUCGUUCAGACUUGAGACUGAUGUGCUAGUAAACUACUUGUAUUUUGUCAUGUUUAAUUGAUCUUGGUGAGAUGCAGUUUAAUUGACAUGAGAGCAAGCCAAAUAUGACCCGUACAUUAUUGGUCUUGCUAAUUUCAGUUCUGUUCAAUCUCGUGAUUGUGGAGUGAUAAUGUUUCUGACUGAAUUGGAAGGCAGAGAUCCAAGUAGGCGCCCUGGAGGAGGAAAGGAAUCGUCGGCUGCAUUGUGGUGUAGGCUUGUUGGGAUUGUCACCCUGAUGUGCUUCGCUGUAGAUGCAUGAUUGUCUAGUUUAUUUUUUAGCUCAUCAAGACUCUGGUCAUAUGUUGCCAGUACCAUGCACCAGUUACCCAAGCUAAUGUAAUUCUGUGUGAAUGUUCACUUUUGAGAAUCAGAUGUUACAUGUGGAGCCUGAAUUUCUGUUCUGAUGAGUGGUUUGCUGAAUUGCAUGAAUGUUCGGUUCUUAGUGAA
Molecule: long non-coding RNA, 898 nt
Organism: Panicum virgatum (switchgrass)
Lineage: Eukaryota; Viridiplantae; Streptophyta; Magnoliopsida; Poales; Poaceae
Exons: 2
Source: RefSeq, a predicted model, not a curated record